GGACGAACGUUGGCGGCGCGCCUAAUACAUGCAAGUCGAGCGCCCCGCACCGUAAGGUGCGGGGAGCGGCGGACGGCUGAGUAAUACUGGAGCACUUCCCCUAAAGUACGGAAUAGCCCAUCGAAAGAUGGGGUAAUACCGUAUAGACCUACCCUUGUGGUAUGUAAAGAUUUUUCGCUUUAGGAAAGGCUUCUGGCCUAUCAGCUUGUUGGUGAGGUAAAGGCUCACCAAGGCUACGACGGGUAGCUGAUUUGAGAGGAUGAUCAGCCAGACCGGGACUGCGACACGGCCCGGACUCCUACGGGAGGCAGCAGUAGGGAAUCUUGCGCAAUGGACGAAAGUCUGACGCAGCGACGUCGCGUGCGGGAAGACGGCCUUCGGGUUGUAAACCGCUUUUUUUGGGGAAUAAUUUUUGAAGGUACCCAUAGAAUAAGCACCGGCUAAUUCCGUGCCAGCAGCCGCGGUAAUACGGAAGGUGCAAACGUUGUCCGGAAUCACUGGGCGUAAAGCGUGCGUAGGUGGCUCAAGUAGUCUCAUAUUAAAGACCGAAGCCUAACUUCGGGAGUGUAUGAGAAACCAUUGAGCUUGAGGAUUGCAGGGGCCUGUGGAACGACCGGUGUAGGGGUGAAAUCCGUUGAUAUCGGUCGGAACACCAAAGGCGAAGGCAGCAGGCUAGGCAAUAUCUGACACUAAGGCACGAAAGCGUGGGUAGCGAUUGGGAUUAGAUACCCCAGUAGUCCACGCCGUAAACGAUGCAAACUAGAGAUUGGGGAGAAUCGACCCUUCUUUGUCUCGAAGCUAACGCGUAAGUUUGCCGCCUGGGUAGUACGAACGCAAGUUUAAAACUCAAAGGAAUUGGCGGGGAGACGCACAAGCGGUGGAGCGUGUGGUUUAAUUCGACAAUAAGCGAAGAACCUCACCCGCGCUUGACAUCUUGGGAAUCCUCUAGAGAUAGAGGAGUGCCUUUUGGAACCCAAUGACAGGUGUUGCAUGGUCGUCGUCAGCUCGUGCCGUGAGGUGUUCGGUUAAGUCCGUUAACGAGCGCAACCCUUACCCUUAGUUGUAUUUCUCUAAGGGGACUGCCCUGGUCAACGGGGAGGAAGGUGGGGAUGACGUCAGAUCAGCAUGGCCCUUACGUGCGGGGCUACACACGCGCUACAAUGGCCGGUACAAUGGGUCGCCAAGCCGCAAGGCGGAGCUAAUCCUAUCAAAACCGGUCUCAGUUCGGAUUGAGGGCUGCAAUUCGCCCUCAUGAAGUUGGAAUCGCUAGUAACGGCUGGUCAGCCAUACAGCCGUGAAUACGUUCUCGUCUCUUGUACACACCGCCC
This 1328-nucleotide ribosomal RNA is filed under the name uncultured bacterium. RNAcentral describes it as "bacterial SSU rRNA". It matches the Rfam family "Bacterial small subunit ribosomal RNA", at positions 27 to 1395 of the family's 1533-position model. The record is from RNAcentral.